Molecule: ribosomal RNA, 433 nt
Filed under: uncultured bacterium
Lineage: Bacteria
Description: partial 16S ribosomal RNA
Rfam family: Bacterial small subunit ribosomal RNA
Source: RNAcentral
AGUGAACGCUGGCGGCAGGCCUAACACAUGCAAGUCGAACGAAAUCUUCGGAGUUAGUGGCGGUUGGGUGAGGAACACGUGGGAACGUGCCGGUUGGUUCGGAAUAAUUCAGUGAAACUUGUGCUAAUGCAGAAUGUGCUCUUCUGGGGAAAGAUUGAUCGUCAUUAGAGCGGCGCGCGACUGAUUAGCUUGGUGGUGAGGUAACCGCGCAUCACGGCGUCGAUCAGUAGCUGGGCUGAGAGGAAGACCAGCGACACUGGGGCUGAGACACGGCAGAGAAUCCUACGCGAGGGGGGAGAGGGGGAUCUAGCGCAAUGGGGGGAGGCCUGACGGAGCCCUGCUGGGUGAAUCAUGUUGGUCGUAGGAAAGUACAAUUGUUUAAGCGGGGACGAUAAUGACGGUACCCGGAGAAGAAGCCCCGGCUAACUUCGUG